GAGACCCGUACCCACAGUUGCCAGCGGCUGCUCCGGCAGGCUGGGUACACCGUGGGGACCGCCUCUGCUAAAGAGGAGGAAGGAGCGGGCGACGGUAGGUCAGUAUGCCCCGAAUUCUCCGGGCUACACGCGGGCUACAAUGAAUGGGACAAUGGGUCCCUCCCCUGAAAAGGGCUGGUAAUCUCACAAACCCAUCCUUAGUUCGGAUCGAGGGCUGUAACUCGCCCUCGUGAAGCUGGAAUCCGUAGUAAUCGCGUUUCAAUAUAGCGCGGUGAAUAC
Molecule: ribosomal RNA, 279 nt
Filed under: uncultured methanogenic archaeon
Lineage: Archaea; Methanobacteriati; Methanobacteriota
Description: partial 16S rRNA
Rfam family: Archaeal small subunit ribosomal RNA
Source: RNAcentral